UUCCAGACUCCUACGGGAGGCAGCAGUGGGGAAUAUUGCACAAUGGGGGAAACCCUGAUGCAGCGACGCCGCGUGAAGGAUGAAGUAUUUCGGUAUGUAAACUUCUAUCAGCAGGGAAGAAAAUGACGGUACCUGACUAAGAAGCCCCGGCUAACUACGUGCCAGCAGCCGCGGUAAUACGUAGGGGGCAAGCGUUAUCCGGAUUUACUGGGUGUAAAGGGAGCGUAGACGGCAGGGCAAGUCUGGAGUGAAAGGCAGGGGCCCAACCCCUGGACUGCUCUGGAAACUGUCCGGCUGGAGUGCAGGAGAGGUAAGUGGAAUUCCUAGUGUAGCGGUGAAAUGCGUAGAUAUUAGGAGGAACACCAGUGGCGAAGGCGGCUUACUGGACUGUAACUGACGUUGAGGCUCGAAAGCGUGGGGAGCAAACAGGAUUAGAUACCCUCGUAUAU
RNAcentral lists this ribosomal RNA (449 nucleotides) under uncultured bacterium. RNAcentral's name for it is "bacterial SSU rRNA". It matches the Rfam family "Bacterial small subunit ribosomal RNA", at positions 329 to 794 of the family's 1533-position model. The record is from RNAcentral.